GUUUGCCUGGUGCUCUCAGGGGCAGAAGACAGUAUUGGACCACCUGUAACUGAAGUUACAAAAGGCUGUAAGCUUCCUUGUGACUGUUGGAAACUGAAUCCAAGCUUCCUGGAAGAGCAUCCAGAGCUUUCCAUGGUUACCUCCAGCAAGUUCACUGAGUGCGCCGGGGCUUCUGGAGACCUAUUUUUCUCCAAAUCCGCCCGAAAUCUCCACUUUCCUGCUACCAGUUCACUACAAAUUCAUCCAACACCGGCUACAUUGAAGUAGGAGAAAAAGGACACCAUGUGUACACCAGCACCGUUCCACAGUAUCAGACUCAUAUUGCUUCAUUUCCAGGGGUGGAGGCCAGAUAUACCAGUGAGUUAUAUGCAGCCAAGACUGAAUAAGACAGACUCUUACUAAAGAAUGCUUAUUGUAAGAAAAUAAGCAAAUGACAUAUUCAACAGCGAUGUCUGUUUAUGUAAGCCAGUUCGUACAAGGAAGACAAUAAACUGAAUCAACCUGAAAGCAAAGAUUUGAAGAAUCUGGACAAGGAGAAGAGCUACAAGGCUCUAGUGAUUCAAGUGAGACUCUGGUGGGGGUUGGGUCUACGGACUCUGCGAUUAGAAGUGUCAGAAGCAUAACUAUGGUCAAGUGGCUAUACAGACAGUGGCAGAGUGCC
This is a long non-coding RNA of Meriones unguiculatus (Mongolian gerbil), 661 nucleotides long. RefSeq lists it as uncharacterized. The record is from RefSeq and is a predicted model, not a curated record. Lineage: Eukaryota; Metazoa; Chordata; Mammalia; Rodentia; Muridae. The transcript has 3 exons.